RNAcentral lists this ribosomal RNA (492 nucleotides) under uncultured bacterium. RNAcentral describes it as "partial 16S ribosomal RNA". It matches the Rfam family "Bacterial small subunit ribosomal RNA", at positions 29 to 507 of the family's 1533-position model. The record is from RNAcentral.
AGUGAACGCUGGCGGUAGGCCUAACACAUGCAAGUCGAACGGCAGCACAGUAAGAGCUUGCUCUUACGGGUGGCGAGUGGCGGACGGGUGAGGAAUACAUCGGAAUCUACUUUUUCGUGGGGGAUAACGUAGGGAAACUUACGCUAAUACCGCAUACGACCUACGGGUGAAAGCAGGGGAUCUUCGGACCUUGCGCGAUUGAAUGAGCCGAUGUCGGAUUAGCUAGUUGGCGGGGUAAAGGCCCACCAAGGCGACGAUCCGUAGCUGGUCUGAGAGGAUGAUCAGCCACACUGGAACUGAGACACGGUCCCGACUCCUACGGGAGGCAGCAGUGGGGACUAUUGGACAAUGGGCGCAAGCCUGAUCCAGCCAUACCGCGUGGGUGAAGAAGGCCUUCGGGUUGUAAAGCCCUUUUGUUGGGAAAGAAAAGCAGCAGGUUAAUACCCCGCUGUUCUGACGGUACCCAAAGAAUAAGCACCGGCUAACUUCGUG